GGACGUGUGCCUGAAUAAAGGACUACUUUGAUAGAGUAGAACAUAGGGGCUAAAAUCUCCUCACCUCCU
RNAcentral lists this transfer RNA (69 nucleotides) under Zonosaurus rufipes. RNAcentral's name for it is "tRNA-Ile". It matches the Rfam family "tRNA". Rfam says of the family: Transfer RNA (tRNA) molecules are approximately 80 nucleotides in length. RNAcentral also lists the same sequence under 1 other name. Lineage: Eukaryota; Metazoa; Chordata; Lepidosauria; Squamata; Gerrhosauridae. The record is from RNAcentral.